Molecule: long non-coding RNA, 657 nt
Organism: Dromaius novaehollandiae (emu)
Lineage: Eukaryota; Metazoa; Chordata; Aves; Casuariiformes; Dromaiidae
Exons: 3
Source: RefSeq, a predicted model, not a curated record
GUUUCUGCAUGCUCUCUACAAGUGUCAUUUCUUGGAGAGGGCACCUCGUCAGGUAUUGGCUCAAAUCCAUAUAUCAGUCAAGAGAGACUCCCAUUGAAUUCAGGGAGAUUUAGAGCAAGUCUGGAGCCCAUAAAUUUUUUCAGAGGCACUAAGCUCUGCUAUUUGAUAUUCUAUAUUCAUGACAUACAAGUGUGCCUUCUGAUCUAGAAGACACUGUAUACAGUUCACGUCCACUGGAUUUACUUAAAUAAGGUGUCAUGACAAUGAUAUCUUAAGACAUGAUCAUUUUAUACCUAAACUAGAACACAAUCUCUAAUAUUUUCUCAUUUCCUGUAGUUUUUAUUAACAUGUCAUCUAUGUUUUAUCUAAAGGUAAAUUUUCCGUCUAAUGCUAUGCAGAAGCUUGAAGCCCAACUGGAUCUGAUGGUUUUUGGUACAUGCUUGCCUACUGCCCUGAGGCCCACACAGAUGGUGUGAGUGACUAACUGAUCCCUCGAUUUUGCACAGCCUACACACUGAUGUCAUUAGAAGAGACUAAUACCUCUGAGAUAUGAAUUCUUUCUACUAUUUGUACUAGAAAAAAUGUGAAGAGGGAAGGCAUGAGCCUUUGUUUUAAAAAAGAAAUAUUGAUGAACAGUGUGACAAAAGCAUCAGAAAG